RNAcentral lists this microRNA (21 nucleotides) under Hydra vulgaris (swiftwater hydra). RNAcentral's name for it is "Hvu-Novel-10_5p (mature (guide))". The record is from RNAcentral. Lineage: Eukaryota; Metazoa; Cnidaria; Hydrozoa; Anthoathecata; Hydridae.
UCCAAAUAUAUUAUAAAGACG